Molecule: ribosomal RNA, 478 nt
Filed under: uncultured Shewanella sp.
Lineage: Bacteria; Pseudomonadati; Pseudomonadota; Gammaproteobacteria; Alteromonadales; Shewanellaceae
Description: bacterial SSU rRNA
Rfam family: Bacterial small subunit ribosomal RNA
Source: RNAcentral
UCCUACGGGAGGCAGCAGUGGGGAAUAUUGCACAAUGGGGGAAACCCUGAUGCAGCCAUGCCGCGUGUGUGAAGAAGGCCUUCGGGUUGUAAAGCACUUUCAGCAGGGAGGAAAGGUUGAGUCUUAAUACGGGUCAUCUGUGACGUUACCUACAGAAGAAGGACCGGCUAACUCCGUGCCAGCAGCCGCGGUAAUACGGAGGGUCCGAGCGUUAAUCGGAAUUACUGGGCGUAAAGCGUGCGCAGGCGGUUUGUUAAGCGAGAUGUGAAAGCCCUGGGCUCAACCUGGGAAUAGCAUUUCGAACUGGCGAACUAGAGUCUUGUAGAGGGGGGUAGAAUUCCAGGUGUAGCGGUGAAAUGCGUAGAGAUCUGGAGGAAUACCGGUGGCGAAGGCGGCCCCCUGGACAAAGACUGACGCUCAUGCACGAAAGCGUGGGGAGCAAACAGGAUUAGAUACCCUGGUAGUCCACGCCGUAAAC